RNAcentral lists this long non-coding RNA (1738 nucleotides) under Corvus moneduloides (New Caledonian crow). Its description in RNAcentral is "lncRNA (ENSCMUG00000017909.1)". The record is from RNAcentral. Lineage: Eukaryota; Metazoa; Chordata; Aves; Passeriformes; Corvidae.
GAACACCGUCCUACAGCCCCCCGGAAUGGACGCACCUCGGCUGGUACCACGGCGAGGCAGCGACUGUCUGGUCCCUGGGCAUCGUGCUGCACCAGAUGGUCUGCGGGGAGCACCCUUUCAGGAGGGGCUGGAACAGCACCUGGGGCCGGCUCUCGCUCCCACGACGGCUCUCUCCAGGUGGAUCCUCGUCUCUGCAGCACGGGGGGAAUAGCAGUGCUGGGAGACAGCAGCGGGCUCAGGAGCAUGCCACACUGGCAGCUGCUGAGGAGGUGGCAAUGUCCUGCUCCCCUCCAAAAGAAAGAAUUGAUGGCAAAGUUUAGGCACAGCCCUGAGCACACGCAGCACGGCCUGGCCAUGGCAAGAGUGGGGCAAAGCGGACAGGAGCCUUCUGCAACUGACUGGUGCUUUCUGCUUUCUCUGCGCAGAGUGCCAGGAUCUCAUCCGACGGUGUUUAUCCGUGCUCUCCUCGGAAAGGCCCUCAUUAGAAGACCUGUCCUGUGAUCCUUGGAUGCAGGAUAUUCCCGUGCCGUAGGAGAAGGGAGAGAGCCACACGCACGCUUUGAGCCAGGGAGCCGCAACAGCCGGGGCCCUGGGCAGAGCACUGACAGCCUGCUCCAGCCCCAGGGAAGAAGGAGCCCCUGGAGAAGCUGUGCCAGGUGCGGCUGCUGCUGCUGGAGACAUGGAGGGUGACAUCAACGAUGACAAGCUCUUCCUCCACCUGGCAAGCUGAAGAUGAUGGACUUCAAUUGUGGCACCUUCUCCAAAGCCAGGCUCCACGGCGAAUUUGCAGAUGAGUCCACACGCAGGGGGCUGCUCCCAGAUUUGUGCAUUGCACAGCCUGGCCGGGAAGCAAAGGUUCCCCCCUUUGCUGGGGCGGAUGCAACCAAUUCUUCAGUCGGCUGCCAAGCUGCUUUUUGGCAGGGCUGGGGGGAUAGGCUGGGCUGGUUUUGAACUGGGAGUCUGCUCCUGGCCCUGCCAACAGCCCCCAGCACCCACCGUGCCCCACAUUGGGGCUGGGGCAGCCGGCGCGACACAAAGCAAGCCCCAUGGUGGGAGCAGAGGUUGGACACCAGAAGCUGUGCAUGGGCUGCUUUGCUCUGCAGGAAGCGUUCUAGGUGCUGUCGGGUCCGGAUGGCGAAGUGCUUGGGAGCAGCUGCGGCGUGGGUGGGACGUGCCCUUGGAGAAGGCUGAGGACAGCGUUUGGGAGCAGCUUUUCUUCUGGCGGCGGGAGGCGUGCGGUGGGUGCCCGUCCUCUUGGCACGGCUGGGAUAAGGGCUUUUGGGAGACGGCAGCGAGCGCAGCAGCAUCCCGCUCUGGGCAGCUGCUGAGGAGGUGGCUGUGCCACGGCCGGCUGCAGGCUGGGCACGUGUCCUGCCCUCCUGCUCUGCUGCCAGAGGCAGCAAUGCUGGGCAGCUUUGGGCAGCGCUCUGAGCACGGCCAGCACGGCCUGGGCACCGCGGGCGGCUGGGACAAGGGGAAUGGGAGCCUUCAGCCGACGGGCGCUUUCUGCUUUGUCUCCUUGCAGCCGGGCUCUGUGGAUGCUGAGGCUGCUCUGGGCUCUGCCAGGGCUCUGCUGUGGCUCAGCCCCGGGGCCACGAGAAGCCAAAGAAGAAACGCCGUGACCUGCAGCAGAGACGUGCUUGAGCAGCUCGGCAGUGCAGCUCACGUUUGCAGAGCGUGCACCUCCAGGGGAAAAUAUGACACCCCCCCAAUAACAAACUUGUUCAGUAACUUCUGA